UCAAGUAAUGAAGUGCACAUGGUGGAUGCCUUGGCAGUCAGAGGCGAUGAAAGACGUGACAGCCUGCGAAAAGCGUCGGGGAGGCGGCAAUAUCCUGUGAUCCGGCGAUAUCUGAAUGGGGAAACCCACUUGUCAUAAGACAGGUAUCGUAAAUUUAUUUACGAGGCAAACCGGGAGAAGUGAAACAUCUCAGUAACCCGAGGAAAAGACAUCAAUAGAGAUUCCCCUAGUAGCGGCGAGCGAACGGGGAGGAGCCGACUGAUUAUAAUUUAGAGGAAUGACUUGGAAAGGUCAAUCGUAGAGGGUGAUAAUCCCGUACUCGAAAGGUUAUAAGAAGCAUAUUAAGUAGGGCGGAACACGAGAAAUUCUGUCUGAAGAUGGGGGGACCAUCCUCCAAGGCUAAAUACUCCUGACUGACCGAUAGUGAACCAGUACCGUGAGGGAAAGGCGAAAAGAACCCCUGUGAGGGGAGUGAAAUAGAACCUGAAACCGUGUGCAUACAAGCAGUCGGAGCGGACAUGUUCCGUGACGGCGUACCUUUUGUAUAAUGGGUCAGCGACUUAUAUUCUGUAGCAAGGUUAACCGAAUAGGGGAGCCGUAGGGAAACCGAGUCUUAAUAGGGCGUCUAGUUGCAGGGUAUAGACCCGAAACCGAGUGAUCUAUCCAUGAGCAGGUUGAAAGUGACGUAACAGUUACCGGAGGACCGAACCCACUGUCGUUGAAAAGCCAGGGGAUGACUUGUGGAUAGGGGUGAAAGGCUAAUCAAACUCGGUGAUAGCUGGUUCUCCCCGAAAGCUAUUUAGGUAGCGCCUCGGACGAACACCAUUGGGGGUAGAGCACUGUUUCGGCUAGGGGGUCAUCCCGACUUACCAAACCGAUGCAAACUCCGAAUACCGAUGAGUGAUAUCCGGGAGACAGACGGCGGGUGCUAACGUCCGUCGUCAAGAGGGAAACAACCCAGACCGCCAGCUAAGGCCCCAAAUUCCUAGUUAAGUGGGAAACGAUGUGGGAAGGCACAGACAGCUAGGAGGUUGGCUUAGAAGCAGCCAUCCUUUAAAGAAAGCGUAAUAGCUCACUAGUCGAGUCGGCCUGCGCGGAAGAUGUAACGGGGCUCAAACUAGGAGCCGAAGCUGCGGAUUUAAUUGUUUCAAUUAAGUGGUAGGGGAGCAUUGUGUAAGCCUGUGAAGGUGUGUUGUAAAGCAUGCUGGAGGUAUCACAAGAGCGAAUGCUGACGUGAGUAACGACAAAACGGGUGAAAAGCCCGUUCGCCGGAAGACCAAGGGUUCCAGUCCAACGUUAAUCGGGGCUGGGUGAGUCGACCCCUAAGGCGAGGCCGAAAGGCGUAGUCGAUGGGAAAUCGGUUAAUAUUCCGAUACUUGUUUAUGAUGCGAUGGAGGGACGGAGAAGGUUAUGCCAGCUUGGCGAUGGUUGUCCAAGUGGAAGGAUGUAGUUAGGUUUAGUAGGCAAAUCCGCUAGACUAUUAAUGAGAUCUGAUAGCAAGCUGUACUUGUACAGCGAAGUGGCAAAUACCCUGCUUCCAGGAAAAGCUUCUAAGCGAUAGUCAUAAAGAAAUCGUACCCUAAACCGACACAGGUGGUCAGGUAGAGAAUACCAAGGCGCUUGAGAGAACUCUGCUGAAGGAACUAGGCAAAAUGGUACCGUAACUUCGGGAGAAGGUACGCUGCCGAUGGUGAGUAGUCACGCACUACAAAGCUAUUGGCAGUCGCAGAUACCAGGCCGCUGCAACUGUUUAUUAAAAACACAGCACUCUGCAAACACGAAAGUGGACGUAUAGGGUGUGAUGCCUGCCCGGUGCUGGAAGGUUAAUUGAUGGGGUUAGCGUAAGCGAAGCUCUUGAUCGAAGCCCCAGUAAACGGCGGCCGUAACUAUAACGGUCCUAAGGUAGCGAAAUUCCUUGUCGGGUAAGUUCCGACCUGCACGAAUGGCAUAAUGAUGGCGGCGCUGUCUCCAGCAGAGACUCAGUGAAAUCGAAAUCGCAGUGAAGAUGCUGUGUACCCGCGGCUAGACGGAAAGACCCCGUGAACCUUUACUACAGCUUUACAUUGAACUUUGACCUUACCUGUGUAGGAUAGGUGGGAGGCUUUGAAGCAGGCACGCCAGUGUCUGUGGAGCCAUCCUUGAAAUACCACCCUGGUAAUGUUGGGGUUCUAACUCAAGCUUAACAGAGCUGAGGACAAUGUAUGGUGGGUAGUUUGACUGGGGCGGUCUCCUCCUAAAGAGUAACGGAGGAGUACGAAGGUGCGCUCAGAACGGUCGGAAAUCGUUCGAAGAGUAUAAAGGCAAAAGCGCGCUUAACUGCGAGACCCACAAGUCGAGCAGAUACGAAAGUAGGUCUUAGUGAUCCGGUGGUUCUGUAUGGAAGGGCCAUCGCUCAACGGAUAAAAGGUACUCUGGGGAUAACAGGCUGAUACCGCCCAAGAGUUCAUAUCGACGGCGGUGUUUGGCACCUCGAUGUCGGCUCAUCUCAUCCUGGGGCUGAAGCAGGUCCCAAGGGUAUGGCUGUUCGCCAUUUAAAGAGGUACGCGAGCUGGGUUUAGAACGUCGUGAGACAGUUCGGUCCCUAUCUACCGUGGGCGUUGGAAAUUUGAGAGGAUCUGCUCCUAGUACGAGAGGACCAGAGUGGACGAACCUCUGGUGUUUCGGUUGUGACGCCAGUCGCAUUGCCGAGUAGCUAUGUUCGGAUGGGAUAACCGCUGAAAGCAUCUAAGCGGGAAGCCCACCUUAAGAUUAGAUUUCCCUAAAGAGCCGUUGUAGACUACGACGUUGAUAGGUUGGGUGUGGAAGCAUAGUGAUAUGUGUAGCUAACCAAUACUAAUUGCUCGUUUGGCUUGACUAU
This 2857-nucleotide ribosomal RNA is filed under the name Corynebacterium durum. Its description in RNAcentral is "bacterial LSU rRNA". It matches the Rfam family "Bacterial large subunit ribosomal RNA". The record is from RNAcentral. Lineage: Bacteria; Bacillati; Actinomycetota; Actinomycetes; Mycobacteriales; Corynebacteriaceae.